UAGGGAAUCUUCGGCAAUGGACGAAAGUCUGACCGAGCAACGCCGCGUGAGUGAAGAAGGUUUUCGGAUCGUAAAACUCUGUUGUUAGAGAAGAACAAGGACGUUAGUAACUGAACGUCCCCUGACGGUAUCUAACCAGAAAGCCACGGCUAACUACGUGCCAGCAGCCGCGGUAAUACGUAGGUGGCAAGCGUUUUCCGGAUUUAUUGGGCGUAAAGCGAGCGCAGGCGGUUUCUUAAGUCUGAUGUGAAAGCCCCCGGCUCAACCGGGGAGGGUCAUUGGAAACUGGGAGACUUGAGUGCGGAAGAGGAGAGUGGAAUUCCAUGUGUGGCGGUGAAAUGCGUAGAUAUAUGGAGGAACACCAGUGGCGAAGGCGGCUCUCUGGUCUGUAACUGACGCUGAGGCUCGAAAGCGUGGGGAGCAAACAGG
This 429-nucleotide ribosomal RNA is filed under the name Gemmatimonadota bacterium. RNAcentral describes it as "Gemmatimonadetes bacterium partial 16S ribosomal RNA". It matches the Rfam family "Bacterial small subunit ribosomal RNA", at positions 355 to 776 of the family's 1533-position model. Lineage: Bacteria; Pseudomonadati; Gemmatimonadota. The record is from RNAcentral.